This 1276-nucleotide long non-coding RNA is filed under the name Helianthus annuus (common sunflower). RNAcentral describes it as "hypothetical non coding rna". Lineage: Eukaryota; Viridiplantae; Streptophyta; Magnoliopsida; Asterales; Asteraceae. The record is from RNAcentral.
UUCCACGUUCACUAGGUCGACUAGUUUGUCGCUAGUCACGGUUGGGGAGUUCGGGUCGUGUGGGAGAAACUCAAAGUACGCCAUGUUUGGCAUGAUGGUGUAUGAAACUUCUGACGGUUUGCACAUCGGGUUCAGAUUGAGCCCGAAGUAACACUCGGAUGAAGCAUACAUUGUACAAACUUUCGGUAACCCGCCGCUAUAGUAAUCCAAAGUUGGAAUGUACUGCGCCAUUGCACCGGUGACAAUCACCUCUAAAUACUUUGUGUUUGGCCAAAUUCGUGUAAUAAUUCUUUCCCAAUUUUCCUUCGAGCAUUCGGAUUCAAUAAAAUUUGCAAGCUCCGGGUCUGAUCGUAGCACCCGUGCCAUGCAUCCUCUGAUAUCCGAAUCGGAUAUCUUCGAGUUAAGUGUUCCAGUUCGGAUAUCAUGUGCCAGUUCCCGCCAAUUAAGCUGGAGGAACCGGAUGGCACGGAGCAGACCCGAAGCAAAGAUGGCACCAAGCCUAAGGACUUGUUUACGCUCGUAGAGACCGCAUAACAUCUGCGAAUACAUGCUUUGAAACGAAUCUGGGCAAAGAAUCGCCUCAUUCGGGCUCGUGUACACGUUAUACGGGUCAAAAGCCCGGGUCUUGAAAUGGUUGCUUUUGUAGUAGCUGGUUAAAACGGGUCGGGCCAUUAACCCACCCGGUGUCUUGGUUUCGGACUUGACAAACAAAAAGUAUAGUCCUUUUCCCUUGUCUAAUCCGGGCAUGUUCAUUACUGGCAUUAGAAGACUGUAAAGUAGCUGGCGUCGAUCCAACUCUUCCUGAAUCGUGGGCAUGAGCUUUCGCUCACCCGCGGAUGUACCCGAGCUAAAUUCUGAAAUAGGAUGAGAUGACAGGAUUGGAGACCGAUCGCCAUUGGCGAUACGUUGGAUGAUAGGCUGAAGAUCCUCAUAAGUUACCAUCGGAAUCUUUGACUUGAAAGAUUCCCGGUCGGUAGCUCCGUCAAGAUUAUACAUACAGAGAUACUCCGUCUGAGCGUUCCGACUGAGAAUCUCAGCCAGAACGCUCUCUUGAACAGCAUCGGCGCUUCUAGUCAUCUCCUCAAUGAACUGAAGCGCCUUUGCGUCUUUCUCACACGCUGGCGGUCCCAAUGGCGAACACAAAGCAUCAACUGCCAUUGAGUAACUGAAAUUCUUGCACUUCAGGGAUUAAAAAUUGCGCUAUAAAUAAAAAGCUAGUGAGUGUUCUUUAUACAUAAACAGUUUGUAUAUGAUGAGAGAGAGAAGUUAGGGUUUU